This is a long non-coding RNA of Mytilus californianus (California mussel), 1166 nucleotides long. RefSeq lists it as uncharacterized. NCBI's taxonomy places the organism in Eukaryota, Metazoa, Mollusca, Bivalvia, Mytilida, Mytilidae. The record is from RefSeq and is a predicted model, not a curated record. The transcript is spliced from 2 exons.
AAUAUGGCUGCGCCCAUGUAGUGUAAAAACGAACCUACCAAAACUAACAGACAGUCAAUACAUGGUUCAGAAAAAAUCACAGGGGAUUAUAGAUUUAAUGAAGCAUCGGUCACCAACAUGCUAAACUGACAAGAACUUGAAAACCGGCAAUUCAGAAGAACAAGCCAAAGAGUAGUAUUUCUGUACAAAGUGGUUGAGGAUAUGGUCCCAGCUAUCAAACCUGACAAAUUCUUGGUAAAAAGCAAUCUUUACCAAAAGGAACAUCAAGCCGACACGCUUUUCAGACUUUGAAAGUGAUAAACUUGGUUAAGGCUAUUGAAACAAAAAACUGUGAAACCGAGCAAUUUAAAAACACAUUCUUCGUCAAAACUGUGAUUCAUUGGAGCCAACUGGAAGAAGAGGUAGUGUGCGCCAAGUCAGUUGAGAGCUUCAAAACAGCUCACCAAGGCCGUCAAUAGGGGCUCGCUCUCCUGUCAAGUUAAAGCCAGAAUUGGUAGCUUCGAUGUAACGAUGCAGAUACAUAUAGUAUGAAAAGUUUUAUACAUGUAUAAUAAACAUUUAUAUUUACAUCUAUUGAUGUCUCAGUACAAGUAUGAUUAUUUGUUUUUGUUGUCAUCUAUGACAUAUAGUAUAAACAAAUUUGAGAAAGUGUAAUCUGUAGACAUGACAGUUCCGCGAAAAUGUUAACAAACUUUUGCGUCAACUUAUUCAUUCAUGUAAAAACUGAUACAAGCCAAUAUUAGAAUUCAAUAGAUUUAGACUAUAAAAUCAGUUCAUGAUUUGACCCGUUCAAGUUUAUUAAGGUCAAAAUAAGAUUAGAUCAAGUUUCAUAAUGUAAAAUGUGAAUGUAGUCCUGAGCAAAUGGUGAAAAUGAUUUAGAUCCUAGUGCAAUAUGAGAUGGGUGACAUGUAUUUAGAUCCUGGUGCUCUAGAGGGGUGACAUUGAAUUGGAUCUGUUUGCUCAAACUAAAAUUUACAGUGCUUUAAAGAAACAAAAAAUAAGAUGUCAUGCUUUAUAAAGUUAUAAACUGUUACAUGUAGGUACAAUUUGUAUAUACUUACUUCUUGACAAUUUUUUUUUAUUUCUAAGUGUUUAAAAGUAGGACGACAUAAAAUAAUUGAUAUUAAAGUCUUACUUUGUUUUUUAAAUAAAUAUUAUUUGAGGGA